This 1665-nucleotide unclassified non-coding RNA is filed under the name Hevea brasiliensis (rubber tree). Lineage: Eukaryota; Viridiplantae; Streptophyta; Magnoliopsida; Malpighiales; Euphorbiaceae. The record is from RNAcentral.
AAUUUAUAGCCUGAAUUUAAUCCAAGGCUUAGCAUAAAAGAGGUGAGACAAAUAAUUCAAUAAAAGGUUGGACUAAUUAAGCCUGUGCUUAUUAAUGUAGUUUUACAAAGACCGAAAAUCCCUGCCAAUUUCAAAGGCUUACAGACCAGAUUCCUCUUAAAAUACAACAGCAUGAGAAAAAUGAAAGUUUAUUGCCAGCCUUCAUUGAUGUGUCCCAUGAUACGCCUGCUACUUGGUUCUCUUUAAUAUAAGCAAAGAAGCAGAACUUUCUAACAAGUGUGAUCUUUCAUACCCAAUGUCUUCAAUCCAAACCAUGGUUCAAAGAUCUCAAAGAUUGAUUCACCCUGAUGACAAUUCUUGCAAUGCUUAGAGACAAAAAUAAUGAUUUUACCAUGUAACUGCACUUCCACUAGCCAAUAUUGAGAGAAGACAAGUGACAUCAAUGCUUACAAAGAAAAUCCUCCAAUGGUGAUAAAGUGGUAGGCACAUUGCAAUCUACAAUUUUGAUGGCCAAAGCAUAAAAAUGUAUGAAGUUCAAAACCAAAUAUGAGAUAUUUCUCUAGGCCUUAGAUAUAGGUUGCUCAAAACACAGAAAGAGAACUUAUGAACUUUAUUUCUUCUUAUGCCUAGGGUCCCCCUCCCUCCUCUUUUAGUUCCUAACACAAGCAAAAACGGUAGGCAUUUAAUUGACGUAUCAUUGACAUGAGAAUGCAUGUAGUUUACGAUAUUGGUCAAGUGCAUUCAACCCAACUCAGAAAGGAAAUUAAACUCGAGCAAUACAAUCUACAGAUUUGAAACUAUGUAUAGCAAAUUUUCUGCUGCGCUCUCCCACAGGAAAAGAAGGGGGGGAGUUAGGAAGUAUCAAACAAAGACUUGCUUCCCUCAAUUGGGCAAAGCACUUGACGAGGAAAUAUUGGUGAGAAAGUCAUUCAUUAGAUAAGGUUUAAAUGCAAGUGUUAGUGUAUGUCGAUACUUGGACUUAUUCAUGUCCAAAAUUGGAUUCCAUACACUGAAAUACCCAGUGACAAAUAAGCCAAGCUCAAUGAUAUUCCAUCAAGAAUAAUAGUAGCAAUAGCUUCAGAAAAUCAAAUAGAGCACAUAGAACAAUCAACAUGUGUCUAAAAUUUUUAUCUUACAUAGUCAUUCAUUUAUUUCGCUCUUUGUCCCAAAGGUCCAAAAUCUUUCGGCGGCAAUACCCUCCAAAAUACUUUUGCCUGAAGAAGGCCAUAUGGAACUGCCCCAAACUUUCUUGAGUCAUUCGAAUCAUAUAUGUUAUCUCCCUCUAUCCAAAUAUGCCCCUUAGGAACCACAAUAGUAUCGCUUCUAUCGCUGUUUUUGGGGUCAACAACAUAAGUGACACUAUCACCUUCUAUGCCAAUCACGCGUUUGGUCACUACCCUUCUAGGAUUGACAGGGGACCGCACAAGAACGACAUCGCCAGGACCCACCUUGCCAAUCCGGGGCGAGAUCUUCUCAGCGAGGACGAGAUCACCGGUGAGGUUAAGAGUCGGAAGCAUACUGGGGCCAUAGGUUAGAGCAACAGUGCAGAGAUAGGUGUUGGUGACGUGAAGGAAGCAGAGGAAUUUGGCGACCAAAAAUGACUGAUUCAGUGCUUCUAUGGCGAAGCUCUUCCAUUGUUUUAGAUUUCUGAGGCCCAUUUCUCCG